This is a long non-coding RNA of Felis catus (domestic cat), 1085 nucleotides long. RefSeq lists it as uncharacterized. The transcript is spliced from 2 exons. The record is from RefSeq and is a predicted model, not a curated record. Lineage: Eukaryota; Metazoa; Chordata; Mammalia; Carnivora; Felidae.
UCGGACGCUUAACCGACUGCGCCACCCAGGCGCCCCAGAAGAUUAUUAUGUCUUAAUCUCUCUCUAUCCAGACCACAUCUGAACCAGCCACACCCAUGGAACACAAACCAGUCUCUCAUUACAGAGAAGGAAAUCUGACCCAGCUAUUCCCCGGCUUAAAACACCUUUCAGUGACGUGUUCGGCAGGAGGCGGUGGAGGCAGUGAGCAUUUGGAUCCAGGGAACAUUCCACAUUAUAGUACACUCGUCUGUUCAUUGACUGAUUUAGCAAGCAUUUAAUUAGCACCUACUGUGUGCUAGGCACAUGUUACUUCAUCUUCACAGCAAGGUUUUAGGACCAUGUAUUUGUUUCGCUUUAUAACAAACCACCCCACACCUGGUGGCUUAGAGCAACAAACAUUUUGUUAUCUCACAGGAUCCAAGCAGAACUCAGCUGGAUACCUCCGGGUCAAGGUCUCUCGUGAGGUCACAAUCGAGCUGUCCACCAGGGCCGCAGUCAUCUCAAGGCUUGGCUGAGGCUGCAGAAUCCAUUCCCGAGCUCACGCACAAGGUUUUGGUCAAGCCUCAGGAGGUUCACGCUUGGCCCUCUCACACUCGGCCUAACUCACACAGGCUUCUCCACAGGGCUGCCUUACAACAUGGCUGCUGGCUCACCCCGGGCCGCUGAUGUGAGUGACAGCAAGAGUGCCCAAGACAGAAGGCGCGAUCUCUUCAUAACUCCGUCUUAGGAGUAACAUGCCAUUACUCCUGCCACAUUCUGUUCAUUAGAAGAAUUCAGAGGCAGCUUGGCUGGGUGGUUCUGAUUCAGGGUCUCUCAUGAGGCUGUAGUUAAGCUGUGGGCCAGAACUGCAGCUUUGAAGAUUUGACUGGGGCUAAGGAUCCACUUCCGGGAUGGCUCACUCACACGGCUGUUGAUGGAAGGCCUCAGUUUCUGGCCGCAUGGACCCCUCUAUAACAGUGCCUGAGUAUCUUUGCAACACAGACGCUGGAUUCCUCCAGAAGAAGUGAUUCAAGAGAGCCUGAGCGGAAGCCUCAAUGCCCUUUAUGACUUUGUCUCAGGAGUCAUACACUGUCAUUUCUGCAAUG